GUUCUAUGAAGGUGACAGAAGGACCUGUUUGCAGAGACUGUCAUUCACCUCCAUAAUGAGUACUCUAUACCAAACCUAUCUACCUACUGCCAACCACACAGAAGCAGCAGCAGGUGCUGGUGUGAGUCUCCAGCAAGUCCUCACUAGAGAGCUGAUGGUAACCCCUGAACAGAGGAGCUAAAGCUUAUAGAGCACUUUCUCUAAUGUUGUUUCAUCGACUCUAUGAUGAUGGAGUGGAGGUGAUUAAUUAAGACUGGAGAUGCUGUGCCAUCAAAGCCCAAAGAGCUUCCUUUGGCUCCAAUGCUACCUGAGUAAAGCAGAAAUAGCAUCAGAAAUGAAUGCUUAUACCCUGCAUUCCCCUUAAUGCAUGCUACCUUCCAGAUAAAGUAAAAGCAUCCUCCUUUCA
Molecule: long non-coding RNA, 406 nt
Organism: Canis lupus familiaris (dog)
Lineage: Eukaryota; Metazoa; Chordata; Mammalia; Carnivora; Canidae
Exons: 2
Source: RefSeq, a predicted model, not a curated record